UGCAAGUUUUAUGUCUCUUCGGAGGCAUGGCGAAAGGCUCAGUAACACGUCGCCAAUCUGCCCUAUGGACGGGGAUAACCUCGGGAAACUGAGAUUAAUACUCGAUAGGUAUGGAAUUCUGGAAGGAGCCAAUACCUAAAUGGACUUCGGUUCGCCAUAGGAUGAGGCCGCGGCCGAUUAGCUAGUAAGUGAUGUAAAGGAUCACUUAGGCGAUGAUCGGUAGGGGUAAUGAGAGUUAGCGCCCCGAGAAGGACACUUAGACACUGGUCCUAGCACUACGGUGUGCAGCAGUUAGGAAUUGUGCCCAAUGCGCGAAAGCGUGAGACCGCGAAUCUGAGUGCCAGGGAGAACCCUGGCUGUGAUGGAGUGUUCGUAGCUCCAACAGCAAGCAGAGGGCAAGGCUGGUGCCAGCCGCCGCGGUAAAACCAGCUCUGCGAGUGCCUAGGACGAUUAUUGGGCUUAAAGCAUCCGUAGCCGGGUAAGUAGGUCUCUGAUUAAAUCUGCAAGCUCAACUUGUAGGCUGUCAGAGAUACCGCUAACCUAGGGAAUAGGAGAGGUGAACGGUACUGCGAGAGAAGCGGUGAAAUGCGUUGAUUCUCGCAGGACCCACAGUGGCGAAGGCGGUUCACUGGAAUAUCUCCGACGGUGAUGGAUGAAAGCCAGGGGAGCGAAAGGGAUUAGAGACCCCUGUAGUCCUGGCCGUAACGAUGAGGAUUAGGUGUUGGCCAUGGUUAAGGCCUGGUCAGUGCCAAAGG
RNAcentral lists this ribosomal RNA (755 nucleotides) under uncultured archaeon. Its description in RNAcentral is "bacterial SSU rRNA". It matches the Rfam family "Archaeal small subunit ribosomal RNA", at positions 52 to 807 of the family's 1478-position model. The record is from RNAcentral.